AUGGGUCACAUUAAGAAACUCCGCACGGAAUCCUUUCCGGAUUUUUAUUUCCUCGGAUUUAGAUUUUUAACGGUCUCAGGGAAAAAAAAAAAAAAAAAAAAAGCAAAACCGAAAGGAAAGCCCGAGACGCGGGGGCCCGGCCGCGCUCCCUCCAGCACGGGGUGGGGGAUCGCUCUUCCCGGCUGUCGCGCUCCCUCCGACGGAGCGAAGGAGCGCGGCCUCUUCAACUGCGGCUGCUGCGGCUGCUGCCCACGCACAGCCCGGGCAAACCCGCGCCCCGCACACCCACCGCGGCCCCGACGCGCCCGGCCGCGGUCGCGCCGAAGCCCCGCGCCCCCGCGGCAAGCGCCGUGUAGGCAGCGGGAGCGGGCGCGGGGCCGCGGCCGAUCGCUCCCGGGCCGCCGCCGCCGCCGCCGCCGCCGCCGCCGCCGCGGGAGGCUCCCGCAGCCCUCGGGCCGCCGCUCGGCCCGGGCGGGAGGGCGCGGGGCCGCCGGGCGCUCCCCCGGGGCCCCGCCGCCGCCCGCCGCCCCCGCGGCCGGGCCUCGUCCCGCGGGCAGCCCCGCCGCGACGGCGCGGAGCCGCCCGGCGGCGACGGGCGGGGCGCGGAGCGACCCCCGCGCCCCGUCCCGCGUCCCCGCCGGGGCCGGUCGCGCCGCCGCCGCCCGCGGGACGAGGCCCGCGUCCCCCGCCGGCGCCGGCCGCCCCGAGGGACGGUCCCGCCGCCACCUGCCCGCGGCCCGGCGGGGGACGCGCGCUGCUACCUACCCCGGGCAGGGCAGGAGCUGGGAGCCGCCGUCGGGCCGGGAGCGGAGCGGGCAGCGGAGCGGCCGGGGCCCCGCUCCGCCGCCAUCCUCGGCGGCCGCGCUCGCUCGCUCGCUGGCUCGCUCGCCCCCCCACCCCCCCGCCCCGGCCCCCGGCCCCCGGCCCGCGGGGGCGCCGCCCCGGCCCGCACCGCCGCCCGGCCGCGCCGGCCGCCCCGGGGUGCGCGGAGCCCGCCCGCCCCGCGCCCCGGGCGCCGCCGCGCUUCGGGGGCCGCGGGGGCCCGGCGGGGCCGGGGCACUAUUUGACGUCGAGGAGACGGAUCACCGCGGCGCAGCGAUACGGCGCGCACCAAUGGAGUUCAAAUGUCAGCAAGUUUGA
RNAcentral lists this long non-coding RNA (1140 nucleotides) under Accipiter nisus (Eurasian sparrowhawk). Its description in RNAcentral is "lncRNA (ENSANIG00000017518.1)". The record is from RNAcentral. Lineage: Eukaryota; Metazoa; Chordata; Aves; Accipitriformes; Accipitridae.